RNAcentral lists this long non-coding RNA (636 nucleotides) under Bemisia tabaci. RNAcentral describes it as "lncRNA ENSSSA1NGG012826". Lineage: Eukaryota; Metazoa; Arthropoda; Insecta; Hemiptera; Aleyrodidae. The record is from RNAcentral.
AUGACUUCAUUGACUUCAAGUUCAAGUAGAUCGAUACACGAGCUCCUAGAACAGGGCAAGUGGUCUGUCGUACAAAUAGAUGGCACUGGGGAAUUUGAUGUGUUACCCAAUAGCUGGUUUACAAGUGUGAACAGAGCACGUUACUAUGACAGCAAUGAAAUCUCCUUGGCCACAGCCACUAAAAUGGUCAAAAACCUAGAUGAAGCCCCGGAGGAUUGGGAAAUUAUCAAUGUCACCCUGAAGAAAAGAAAUUAUGGAACCUUUGACGCAGCCAUGAAAAAAAUAGUAGAUUUGACUCAUGAUCGGGGCACUGCCAGCGAGAGUGAACCUAAAGGGGUUGGUCAGCGGAAGAUCAAACCUCUAGUCCGCCUCUCUCCUUCUCCUGCCAAGAAGACAGUACGAAGUCUACAAUUUUCCAGCGAUUCUGAUCAGGAUAACGAGGCUCUAUCACAAAGAAUCCCCAAAAAGAAGAGACAUCAUUCCAAAGACUCGGAAUCCACAACCAAACCAUCGCCAAAAAAAAGAGAUCUUCAAUUGAGGAGCAAGAAGAGCCAAUGCCCAGUACCUCUAGUUCCUCGGUGGGACAUGAGUCAGUAUCAUCCCCAAAGAGGAAGAGAACUGAGAAUACUAAAAUGA